This 724-nucleotide long non-coding RNA is filed under the name Nicotiana tabacum (common tobacco). RNAcentral describes it as "long non-coding RNA (NTAB_LNC000706)". The record is from RNAcentral. Lineage: Eukaryota; Viridiplantae; Streptophyta; Magnoliopsida; Solanales; Solanaceae.
AAUUCUGUUAUCAAGCUUGUUGUCAAACUUCAAUUGCCUUGGCUGGAAGCAAGACAUUUAGUCUCUUUAUGUAACACAUAUUUGUUGUUUGUUUUGGGUAGAUAUUACAGACUCUAUUACCUUAUUUGUAACCAAAUAUUUUAUGUUGGGUAGGAAACAGGAGCGACACAAAAUUUUCAUCAAAGGGAUUCAACAUUUGAAGAAGUAAACGGUGAAAGUUUCUGGUGCAUUCUUAUUCUAAUCCACUUUAUUUUUAUUGGACAGAGGAUCAAGACUUUCAGUGAACUAAUGUUUCGUUCAAAACUUGGGGAGAUUAAUGCUCGGUUAAGAAAGGAUGGGUUGAUAAGUACCUUAUCCUCUUCUCGUUUAUGAUCCAAACAUUUUGGUCUUCAAGGUGUUGUUGUUGCUUCGAAUCUUGUGGUGUGGAUAUGUUAUAAUAACAAAAUUAACCUGGAUAGGAUUGAAUCUAGAGUGGUUAAUCUCAUAAAGCGACAUGACUCGAUGUAAGUUCAUGGAAUUUCUAAUUUUGAGUUAUACAUUUAUUUGUUUUACUAGUAAUGUAAUGACAUUAAACAAUGUUCAUCACAGGCAUAAGGAUUUCCGAAGGAAAGGAAACAUAGCUGAAUGUGAAGCUGUAAAAGCAAUACUUCUACCUUUUCCAUAGAUUUCUGUUAAACCAGUAAUAAUCUUCCUCCUUGCAUUUUGUGCUCUACUUCUAGCUGAC